UUUCGACUGUGCCAGUGUGCGUGUGUGCCUUUGUGGUGAGCAAUGCGGUUUGUUAUUUUGGGUACAUGUAUUAUCAGUUAAAUUUUUGCCGUUUUAUAAUAUUUGGAUGUAAAAUAAACAUGCAAGGUAAUUGUAACAUCAGAGAACUCUCCGUUUUGCUGUGUUCGAGCGCACCGGGCGCACGUCUAAACUAAUCCACCAUAUUAGCAACCAGUACUAGACUUCGUUUAGGACUUCGUCAGUACAAUUUCCUUACCCCAUUUGCCACUAAAGUAAGGCAGGAAAUAACAUGAGUAAACACACCGAGGAUGCUUCAUGAAGCAUAAUUUAACUUUAAAAGGUGAACUGAACACAACUGAUUAUGACCUUUCCAUUUGGUUCUCCCCUCACCAAACCGUAUGCUCUGUACCUCCCCUCUUCCCAAUUUCCACCUUCCAGCAUCUCUUGGUUCCUGGCUUUGGAAACAGGUCUCCUCCCAGUAUAUAUAGAGACAGAGGAGUCCAACCAUUACUGCUGGAAUAUCGUGCAGAUUAACGGCAUAAGGGCAGUGGAGAAUCCCCAGUGGGAUGAGCUGGAGAAAGGCACCGACAAUAUAGAUCCAACAGGAGGAACAAAUUCCACAUCUUGUGUAGGCACAGGGACAUAUGCAUUAUCUCACAACCUUUAGUUCAAAUAUCAGAAUUCUGAAAUCCCCCCAUUGCACAUUAGGUUUAUUGGCAAAAUCCACAAUUUCUCAGCUGUUUGCAAUAAACAAAUUCCACAAGAUUUGUUUAAGUAGUUUAAUGAAACUAAUAUUACAAAGGUUUUAUCCAAAUUCAACACAAAAUGCUAUUUUUAAUGACUUUAAUGAAUUUACUGCAGACUCAAAAUUAUUCAACCCCUUCAUGCCGAGCAUCUUCAGUACUUAGUAGAGCAGCCUUUUGCUGUUAUGACUUGCUGCAAAUGUGAUGCAUAGCCAGACAGCAGCUUCUGACAGCGUUCCUGAGGAAUCUGAGCCCAUUCCUCGUGGACAGUGGCCUCCAGGUCAGUAAUAUUCUUUGGUGUGUGUUUGCAACCGCCUUCUUCAAAUCACACCAGAGAUUUUCGAUGGGGUUCAAGUCAGGCGACUGUGACGGCCACUCUAGAAUCUUCCAUUUCUUCUUCUGAAACCAAGCCUUGGUGGACUUUGAUGUAUGCUUGGGAUCAUUGUCUUGUUGGAAGGUCCAAUGACUUCAUGAGCAACACUGACAAUGUUUCAGUCACUGUGGACAUUUGGUCUGAUCGAAAGAUGAGGGGAUUCCUUGGUGUCACUGUGCACUGGAUAGAGAGAUGCAGAGAGGAUACAGCUAAAGACUAAUCUCUUGGCCUGCAACCGCUUCAAAGGCUCUGACACAGCAGAGCACAUCUGUGACCAAUUUGAGGCAAUAUGUGAUGAAUACAACAUCAAAGCUAAAUUGGACUAUAUCAUUAGUGACAAUGCUGCUAACAGGCGCAAGGCAUUUACGGUCUGCUUCCCCAGCGAACAGGAGGACGAUGAUGAAGCUGGAGAUAAUCUGGAUGAUCCUGAGCUAUGGCAUGACUUAACCCUAGAAGACCAGCAAACCGUCAAUGCUGCUGUGGCAAACAAACAGUGCCUCCAGUGUUUUGCACACACAUUGCAGCUGGUUGUGGGAGACGGUUUGAAAGAAACAAAAGCGGCAUGUCCUUCUCUCUCCAAGUUAUCAAAACUUAGCUCCCUGCUCCACACAAGCACAACGUUUAAAGACAUCUUCGAUGGUGAAUUUGGGGAGCACAGAGGCAUCCCUGCUGCAGUGAGUACGAGGUGGAAUUCCACACUGCGGCAGGUGAAAGCAGUCCGUCAUUGUGAUCAGCAAAAGCUCUGCGCAAUUCUUGAAAAGGCCGGGCAUAAAGAACUGUCCUUCACACCACGAGAGUGGAAUCUGCUGAAGGAGUUGGUGGACAUCUUGAAACCGUUCGGAGAAGCAACUGAUUUGACACGGGGAGAAAUUCAUUACAAUCAGUGCAGUUGUUCCAUCCGUCUUAUCCCUCAAUCAUCAUCUUGAGAAGCUGAAGCCUCAAGUUUGUUUCCUGAGCGGCCUGGUCAGAGGUCUGCAGGCCUCCCUGAAAAAAGGAUUUCCUGGGAUCUUCAUUAAUGUGAAAAUGGCCCAGUUUGAAGAAGGGAUCACUGCCCCCUUUUCAGACACAGUCUCCCUGAAAGCAGCUGCCUUGGAUCCAGCCUUUUCUGCUGCUGUGGAUUGAGCCCCAUGUGCUGGUCAACCGUGACAUCAAGGCAGAGGUGGCACAACGAGUUAAGGAAUUGAUCCUGCAAGAUGCUGCAGAGACAGAGCAACCUGUGCUGCUGCCUGCUGAAGAAGAACUAGAGGACAUGGAAGGAGAAGGGCUGUUUGCUGCAUACCAUAAGAGGCAGAAAAGGGAUGUUGGGACCCCACCUGGGGCCU
Molecule: long non-coding RNA, 2438 nt
Organism: Gasterosteus aculeatus aculeatus (three-spined stickleback)
Lineage: Eukaryota; Metazoa; Chordata; Actinopteri; Perciformes; Gasterosteidae
Source: Ensembl